CCUACGGGAGGCUGCAGUGAGGAAUAUUGGUCAAUGGACGAGAGUCUGAACCAGCCAAGUAGCGUGAAGGAUGACUGCCCUAUGGGUUGUAAACUUCUUUUAUAAAGGAAUAAAACGAGGCACGUGUGCCUUUUUGUAUGUACUUUAUGAAUAAGGAUCGGCUAACUCCGUGCCAGCAGCCGCGGUAAUACGGAGGAUCCGAUCGUUAUCCGGAUUUAUUGGGUUUAACGGGAGCGUAGAUGGGUUGUUAAGUCAGUUGUGAAAGUUUGCGGCUCAACCGUAAAAUUGCAAUUGAUACUGGCAGUCUUGAGUACAGUUGAGGUAGGCGGAAUUCGUGGUGUAGCGGUGAAAUGCUUAGAUAUCACGAAGAACUCCGAUUGCGAAGGCAGCUUACUAAGCUGCCACUGACAUUGAUGCUCGAAAGUGUGGGUAUCAAACAGGAUUAGAUACCCCAGUAGUC
RNAcentral lists this ribosomal RNA (460 nucleotides) under uncultured bacterium. RNAcentral's name for it is "partial 16S ribosomal RNA". It matches the Rfam family "Bacterial small subunit ribosomal RNA", at positions 338 to 795 of the family's 1533-position model. The record is from RNAcentral.